UUUAAUAUUAUUAUUAUUAUUAUUUUAUUUAAAUUUAACAUAAGAAAAUUAAUGUUUUAUUAAAAAUAAGAAUAAAUUUAUUAUUAUUAUAUUAAAUUUUUAUUGAAAAAGAAUUAUUUUAUUUAUUGUAAAGAAAAAUUAAGUUUUUGUACCUUGUGUAUCAGGGUUUAUUAAAAUAAUUAAAAUAUUUUAUUUUCUCGAAGUUAAAAGAGCUAAAAAAAUAUAUUUUUUAUUGUAAAAUAAAUAUUAUUAAUAUUUUUUUAGUAGUGAAAUGUUAUUCGUUUUUAAAUAUAUCUAGUUUUUUAAGAAAUAAAUUUAAUUUAUUUAUUUAUUUAAUAAAUAAUUAAUUAUUUAAUUUUUUAUUAUAAAUAUUAAAUAUUUUUAGGGAUGAGCUUAAAAAUAGAUUUUUAUUAAAAAUUAUAUUUAAUUAAAUUGUAGGAUUAGAAUUUUCUAUCAUUAAAAGGAUGUUAAAAUUAAUUUAUUUUUUCAUAUUAUUUAUAUAAUUUAUAAAUUUUUUAUUAAAAUAUUAAUUUUAAUUUUAAAUAUUAAGUAAUUAUGAUAAAAUUAGUAUAAUUUAUUGUUUAAAUUUAUUUAUUUUUAAGAUUAAAUAAAGGAAUUCGGCAAAUAUUUUUCUACCUGUUUAUUAAAAACAUGUCCUUUUGUUUAAAAUUUAAGGUCUAACCUGCCCACUGAAAAUUUGAAUGGCCGUGGUAUUUUGACCGUGCUAAGGUAGCAUAAUCAUUAGUUUUUUAAUUGAAAGCUGGAAUGAAAGGUUGAAUAAGAAAAAAACUGUCUCUGUUUAAUAUUAUUAGAAUUUUAUUUUUAAGUUAAAAAGCUUAAAUAUUAUUAAAAGACGAGAAGACCCUUUAGAGUUUAAUUAUAAAUUAAAUUUUUUAUUUUAGUAUUAAUUUAUAUAAUUUAUUAAUAAUUUAAUUGGGGUGAUUGAAAAAUUUAACAAACUUUUUUUAUUUUUAAACAUAAUUAUAUGAAUAAAUGGUCCAAUAAUUUUGAUUAUAAGAUAAAAUUACCUUAGGGUAUUAACAGCGUAAUUUUUUUAGAAAGUUCAUAUUAAAAAAAAAGAUUGCGACCUCGAUGUUGGAUUAAAAUUAAUUUUUGGUGCAGAAGUUAAAAAAUUAGGUCUGUUCGACCUUUAAAAUUUUACAUGAUCUGAGUUUAAACCGGUGUAAGCCAGGUUGGUUUCUAUCUUUAAUUAAUAAAAAUAUUUUAGUACGAAAGGAUUAAAUAUUUAAUUAAAAUUUUAUAUUUUGAAU
RNAcentral lists this ribosomal RNA (1271 nucleotides) under Chrysomelidae sp. SPH01. Its description in RNAcentral is "16S ribosomal RNA". The stretch from base 1039 to 1195 matches the Rfam family "Archaeal large subunit ribosomal RNA", at positions 2546 to 2703 of the family's 2987-position model. Lineage: Eukaryota; Metazoa; Arthropoda; Insecta; Coleoptera; Chrysomelidae. The record is from RNAcentral.